AGCAGCAGCCACGGUAAAACAGAGGGUGCGAGCGUUAAUCGGAUUUACUGGGCGUAAAGCGUGCGUAGGCGGCUUUUUAAGUCGGAUGUGAAAUCCCUGAGCUUAACUUAGGAAUUGCAUUCGAUACUGGGAAGCUAGAGUAUGGGAGAGGAUGGUAGAAUUCCAGGUGUAGCGGUGAAAUGCGUAGAGAUCUGGAGGAAUACCGAUGGCGAAGGCAGCCAUCUGGCCUAAUACUGACGCUGAGGUACGAAAGCAUGGGGAGCAAACAGGAUUAGAUACCCGCGUAGUCCCUGUCUCUUAUAC
RNAcentral lists this ribosomal RNA (303 nucleotides) under uncultured bacterium. Its description in RNAcentral is "partial 16S ribosomal RNA". It matches the Rfam family "Bacterial small subunit ribosomal RNA", at positions 507 to 807 of the family's 1533-position model. The record is from RNAcentral.